UGGGGGAUAUUGCACAAUGGGCGAAAGCCUGAUGCAGCGACGCCGCGUGGGGGAUGAAGGCCUUCGGGUUGUAAACUUCUUUUGCUCUGAACAAGGCAUGCUAAUGGGUGUGUUGAGUGUAGGGGUUGAUUAGCGCCGGCUAACUACGUGCCAGCAGCCGCGGUAAUACGUAGGGCGCGAGCGUUGUCCGGAAUUAUUGGGCGUAAAGGGCUUGUAGGUGGCUGGUUGCGUCUGUCGUGAAAGCUCAUGGCUUAACUGUGGGUUUGCGGUGGGUACGGGCUGGCUUGAGUGCAGUAGGGGAGGCUGGAAUUCCUGGUGUAGCGGUGGAAUGCGCAGAUAUCAGGAGGAAUACCGGUGGCGAAGGCGGGUCUCUGGGCUGUUACUGACACUGAGGAGCGAAAGUAUGGGGAGCGAACAGG
Molecule: ribosomal RNA, 419 nt
Filed under: bacterium
Lineage: Bacteria
Description: partial 16S ribosomal RNA
Rfam family: Bacterial small subunit ribosomal RNA
Source: RNAcentral